UGGUUUGACCAGGAAGAAGUGGGAAUUCUGGGAUGUUGUGGUCAAACCAAUGGGUGCUUGGAUUUUGAUAUUGGCACCUGGGAUAACCAGUGGGUUUUAGGACACACCUCCGAGAACACACAGGGGUUAAAAGCAGAGCUUCGGCCCCGGGAGGCUCUCUUGGGACUUCGAGGGACGCAGGUCGGAGCUCUCCCCUGUCCAGCCGCUGCUGCUGGGCGGGGGAGGGGCAGCCAUGCGGCCUUACAGAACAUUAACCCUUCCUAGACGAGUGAUAAGAGAGGAGGAGGAUGAAGGAAAUGAACGAGUGAUGGAGGUCUGGACCAGAGAGAGAGAGAGUGAGAGAUGUUGAAAGAAUGGAGAAGAUGGAGUGGCAUUUAAUGCUGGACUCUUUUGUGUAGUCAUGGACAGAGCUAUGUUUCCGUGAGAUACAGAGACUGAGUCCAGGGGGAGAAAUGUCCCAGAGCCAAAGAAGAGUCAGUGUGUGGACCCCUCGGCCCCAGGGGGUAUAUAAAAUAUGGGGGGGACGGAUGUCCCAGAGGAUGAGAAGGUGAGAUACUGUGCUUUUCUGGAACUGGACAAAGCAUCCUUAAAAAGACAACCCUGGAAGCAGCCCUGAUCCCUGUUCGGUGGUGAGAGCACCGGAACAAGGACGGAAAAGGCCACCACGACACAUGGAAGGACUCCCUCUCCUCUUGAGGAGCUGAAAGUUUGACCAAUCUAAAGGGUGGUGCCAGACGGAGUGUGAAUAAUUUUGGGAGUGUGGAUAAUUUUGGGAGAUGAAUUGUACGGGGAUCUGGAGGAGGAGGGGGAAGUGUUUCUGUGUAGUUUUCAUUCUCCUUGUGAUUUCUUUUUUUUUUUUCCCUUUGUGUAUGUGUAGUUUAGUGUUUGUUUGUAGUUUAGUAAUUGUUUGUAUGUAGCUUAGUUAAUAAACUUUUCUGUAGGUUGAA
Melospiza melodia melodia is the source of this 947-nucleotide long non-coding RNA. RefSeq lists it as uncharacterized. NCBI's taxonomy places the organism in Eukaryota, Metazoa, Chordata, Aves, Passeriformes, Passerellidae. The record is from RefSeq and is a predicted model, not a curated record. The transcript has 2 exons.